Sinocyclocheilus rhinocerous is the source of this 447-nucleotide non-coding RNA. NCBI's taxonomy places the organism in Eukaryota, Metazoa, Chordata, Actinopteri, Cypriniformes, Cyprinidae. The record is from the annotation of a RefSeq genome assembly.
AUGUUCCUGUGCAUUCUGAUUCUGCUGUCAAUAAUACAGGAUGAAUGCUUUGCAAAGACAGUAACACCACUGCAGGACAGAACACAAGUUACUGAGGGUAAGCCAGUCAAUCUGACAUGCACAUAUGAUGGCAGUGUACAGAGUUUACUUUGGUAUCGACAAUAUCCUGGAUCUGGACUGGAAUUUCUGCUCCUUGUCGUUGAGUCAUCCACGAAGUCUGUAGUAUAUGCAGAUCCCCCUAUUCCUAGACUGGAUGGUGAAAUGAGUAUGAAAGACAAGCGAGUGGAUCUGAUCAUCUCCUCUGCUGAAGUGACAGACUCUGCUCUGUACUACUGUGCCCUGGUGCCCACAGUGAGAGAAAACACAACACCGCUGUACAAAAACCUCCAACCAUACUCCAUGUGUAAUACACAAAUGGUGUUGAAAUUAAAUCACUAUUUCAAAUAA